Molecule: ribosomal RNA, 467 nt
Filed under: uncultured bacterium
Lineage: Bacteria
Description: partial 16S ribosomal RNA
Rfam family: Bacterial small subunit ribosomal RNA
Source: RNAcentral
GACGAACGCUGGCGGCGUGCUUAACACAUGCAAGUCGAACGGAAAGGCCCUGCUUUUGUGGGGUGCUCGAGUGGCGAACGGGUGAGUAACACGUGAGUAACCUGCCCUUGACUUUGGGAUAACUUCAGGAAACUGGGGCUAAUACCGGAUAGGAGCUCCUGCUGCAUGGUGGGGGUUGGAAAGUUUCGGCGGUUGGGGAUGGACUCGCGGCUUAUCAGCUUGUUGGUGGGGUAGUGGCUUACCAAGGCUUUGACGGGUAGCCGGCCUGAGAGGGUGACCGGCCACAUUGGGACUGAGAUACGGCCCAGACGCCUACGGGAGGCAGGAGUGGGGAAUAUUGCGCAAUGGGCGGAAGCCGGAUGCAGCAACGCCGCGUGCGGGAUGACGGCCUUCGGGUUGUAAACCGCUUUCGCCUGUGACGAAGCGUGAGGGACGGGAAUGGGUAAAGAAGCACCGGCUAACUACGU